This 1704-nucleotide ribosomal RNA is filed under the name Rhipicephalus kohlsi. RNAcentral's name for it is "SSU rRNA". It matches the Rfam family "Eukaryotic small subunit ribosomal RNA". The record is from RNAcentral. Lineage: Eukaryota; Metazoa; Arthropoda; Arachnida; Ixodida; Ixodidae.
ACCGCGAAUGGCUCAUUAAAUCAGUUAUGGUUCCUUAGAUCGUUUCUUCCUACUUGGAUAACUGUGGCAAUUCUAGAGCUAAUACAUGCAGUGAGCCUGGAGCCCUUUGGGUAACGGGUGCUUUUAUUAGACCAAGAUCGAUCGGGUUCCGGCCCGUAUUGUGUGGUGACUCUGGAUAACUUUGUGCUGAUCGCAUGGCCACGAGCCGGCGACGUUUCUUUCAAGUGUCUGCCUUAUCAACUUUCGAUGGUAGGUUACUUGCUUACCAUGGUUGUUACGGGUAACGGAGAAUCAGGGUUCGAUUCCGGAGAGGGAGCCUGAGAAACGGCUACCACAUCCAAGGAAGGCAGCAGGCGCGCAAAUUACCCACUCCCGGCACGGGGAGGUAGUGACGAAAAAUAACAAUACGGGACUCUUUUGAGGCCCCGUAAUUGAAAUGAGUACACUCUAAAUCCUUUAACGAGGAUCAAUUGGAGGGCAAGUCUGGUGCCAGCAGCCGCGGUAAUUCCAGCUCCAAUAGCGUAUACUAAAGCUGCUGCGGUUAAAAAGCUCGUAGUUGGAUCUCAGUUCCAGACGAGUAGUGCAUCUACCCGAUGCGACGGCUCGGACUGAACAUCAUGCCGGUUCUUUCUUGGUGCACUUCAUUGUGUGCCUCGAGAUGGCCGGUGCUUUUACUUUGAAAAAAUUAGAGUGCUCAACGCAGGCGAGUCGCCUGAAUAAACUUGCAUGGAAUAAUAGAACAAGACCUCGUUUCUGUUCUGUUGGUUUUUGGAAUACGAGGUAAUGAUUAAGAGGGACGGACGGGGGCAUUCGUAUUGCGGCGCUAGAGGUGAAAUUCUUGGACCGUCGCAAGACGAACUACUGCGAAAGCAUUUGCCAAGAAUGUUUUCAUUGAUCAAGAACGAAAGUCAGAGGUUCGAAGGCGAUCAGAUACCGCCCUAGUUCUGACCAUAAACGAUGCCAACCAGCGAUCCGCCUGAGUUACUCAAAUGACUCGGCGGGCAGCUUCCGGGAAACCAAAGUAUUUGGGUUCCGGGGGAAGUAUGGUUGCAAAGCUGAAACUUAAAGGAAUUGACGGAAGGGCACCACCAGGAGUGGAGCCUGCGGCUUAAUUUGACUCAACACGGGAAAACUUACCCGGCCCGGACACUGGGAGGAUUGACAGAUUGAGAGCUCUUUCUUGAUUCGGUGGAUGGUGGUGCAUGGCCGUUCUUAGUUGGUGGAGCGAUUUGUCUGGUUAAUUCCGAUAACGAACGAGACUCUAGCCUAUUAAAUAGGUGCGGGGUUCCCAGCACCUUACAACCUUCUUAGAGGGACAAGCGGCUCCUAGCCGCACGAAACAGAGCAAUAACAGGUCUGUGAUGCCCUUAGAUGUCCGGGGCCGCACGCGCGCUACACUGAAGGAAGCAGCGUGUCUUUAUCCCUGUCUGAAAAGACUGGGUAACCCGUGGAACUUCUUUCGUGAUUGGGAUAGGGGCUUGCAAUUGUUCCCCUUGAACGAGGAAUUCCCAGUAAGCGCGAGUCAUAAGCUCGCGUUGAUUACGUCCCUGCCCUUUGUACACACCGCCCGUCGCUACUACCGAUUGAAUGAUUUAGUGAGGUCUUCGGACCGAUGUCCGGCGCGGCCUUUCGGUUGCGCCGGUCUGUUGGAAAGAUGACCAAACUUGAUCAUUUAGAGGAAGUAAAAGUCGUAACAAGGUUUCC